RNAcentral lists this long non-coding RNA (1327 nucleotides) under Canis lupus familiaris (dog). RNAcentral describes it as "lncRNA (ENSCAFG00040022115.1)". The record is from RNAcentral. Lineage: Eukaryota; Metazoa; Chordata; Mammalia; Carnivora; Canidae.
CUAUAAUAUAGUAUAUGUACAAAUAUAUGGUAUAUAUAUAAAAUAUAUAUAUGAAACUUUCAUAUAUAUACUAUAUAUAUGAAAUACUUUUAAUUUUGAGAUGGAUAAUUUAUAAAAAGUAAUUUGUUCAACUACAGUUGGCUCUUUAAAUAGCACAGGGUUUAGGGGCACCAACUCAGUCCCACUACCUCUAGUUGAAAAUCUGCAUAUAACUUGUAAGUCCUAAAAAGCUUAACUACUACUAUUAGCCUACUAACUGGAAGCCUUCUAGAUAACAUAAACAGUUGAUUGAAAUAUUUUGUAUGUUAGAUGUAUUAGGUAUUAUAUUAUUACAAUAAGGUAAGAUAGAGAUAAAGAAAAUGUUAUUAAGAAAAUCCUAAGGAAAACACAUUUACAAUACUAUACUAUAUUUACUGAAUAAACCUAUAUAAGUGGACCCAUGCAGUUCAAAACUGCGUUGUUCCAGAGUCAAUUAUAUUUCACCUAAUUUAAAUUAAAUUCACCUAAUUUAUUUAACUGUUUAAUUAAGGGAAGGUAAUCAUAGCCUGAUGUUUCAUUAUUGUAACAUUGCUUUUGUUUUAGUAAAUCUUUUGAUUAACUAGAUCUUUGAAAACAGAUCUUUAGAGUUUGUGUUGCUGAGACCCAGGUCACCUUGAGGUGUUAUGAAGAUUUGGUGGCAAAAUAGAUAUAGUAGCUAUCAAUAUAGUGGUUAAUCUGGGCACUCCAUGACCUCUAACCUAAUAAGCUAGAAUGUUAGUGAUGUCACAGUCUAAGUUUCCCAUCUACUAUAAGUGGGCCAAUUAGCAGUGAACAGCAGCACCCUGUUCCAGGGCUAGAUAUGAACUUACAAAUGGUAUAUGGAUGCAAAACUGACACUUAGCUUUCCUUUCAUGUUGAAUUACCGAUCAGUGUGCUCAUCAUGUUCUAGUCAGAGAAAACAAAUAACUUUAUAUCCUGAGAUAAAAACAAAACAAAGCGCGAUAAAGCAAAUGAGUAUGAAAGUGUAUCUUGUCUCUCUUCUUCCUGCUACCAUAUUCCAUUGACCAAAUCUUUUCUUUUAUACUCUCAAGAUCAUUAACAUUUACAAUCUAUCUAGCAACCAAAACCAAUCAACUUCCCAUACCCCUGGUGUGGAAGGUCCAAAUGUUUUGAGUUGGUGAAUAGAUUUUAUAAGUAGGUUUGGUUGAAAAAGCUAUGGAGAACUGGGAGUCCUAGUAUACCAGAGUAUUGGCAGAAAAAUAAACACAUAGAUCAACAGAACAGAAUAGAGAGCCCAGAAAUAAACCCAUAAUAUUAUAGCCAAUUAAUCUUCAGCAAAGGAGGAAAG